This 239-nucleotide ribosomal RNA is filed under the name uncultured bacterium. Its description in RNAcentral is "partial 16S ribosomal RNA". It matches the Rfam family "Bacterial small subunit ribosomal RNA", at positions 109 to 334 of the family's 1533-position model. The record is from RNAcentral.
AGUAACGCGUGGGUAACCUACCCAUAAACUCGGGACAACCCUUGGAAACGAGGGCUAAUACCGAAUAAUCUUUUGAUGCGGCAUCGUAUUAAAAGGAAAGGUGGCCUCUGAAUAUGCUACCGAUUAUGGAUGGACCCGCGUCUGAUUAGCUAGUUGGUGGGGUAAAGGCCUACCAAGGCGACGAUCAGUAGCCGGCCUGAGAGGGUGAACGGCCACACUGGGACUGAGACACGGCCCAG